Long non-coding RNA from Drosophila subpulchrella, 1007 nucleotides. RefSeq lists it as uncharacterized. Lineage: Eukaryota; Metazoa; Arthropoda; Insecta; Diptera; Drosophilidae. The record is from RefSeq and is a predicted model, not a curated record. The transcript is spliced from 3 exons.
CUCACAUUACUACGCUAUCGGUCAUCACUAAUGACAAGAAAACGUAAACAAAACAAAUAUUUACAAAUAUUGACGGAAAAAUUGAUUACAUUUGGUGGCUAUCGGUGACUUAGCCAAGCGCUCCCACCCAACCAUGGAAGCCCUCAAGAUGCUGCAGGGCACCACCCAUUCUCUGUCGGCAGGAGCCCCCUCCUCGCGACUAAGGCGGUUCCAUCUCCCCCACUGGGAAAGUUUACUCACACAUUGUGGGUAUUACAAAGGUUUAAUAAAUAUCCCUUUAAGACCGAAACCUGGCCGCCGACUUCAAUAUUUACGCGGUCAAAGCAGAGGAUUGGUUUUGCUGGAAAAGGUUACAGGCGCCGCGAAAACUGUGCUCUACCAGUCAUGUAUUGGUAGAGCUCGUAUGGAAACGCGGCCCUCAAAGGAACAUACGCGAUGCACUUGUAUGGUCACCUAAUCCUGAGGAGCUCCAAGGGAAAAGAAGGGACAGGCCAAAAAGGCAAACAACGAGGACAAAUAAGGCUCUCGGGUCUAACUCCGGAUAAAUUCACAAACAGGGAAGUAGAUAUCAAUAUAUAUAUGUAUUUAUUUUUUCUAAAUUUCAGCCACUAUUGUGCCGGGCCUGGAGGCAAUGAUAGCCCGGGGGGAAGACUUCUCGCCGGAGGCCAGCAGCGAUACGGAUCUCCACACGCUCUCCGGUGAGUUGUGCAAUGGCAGUCCGAGAUUCGGCUGCCAGACAAAAUGGCGAUACUUCUCAGCGCCGCGAUGUGACCGCUGGAAGUUCCCGAGAUGAGGAGGACGCGGUACACCGGAACGGACUCACCGGGAAAUGCUUGAUGUCGUCGGCGUCGACUGUGCAAGGCUUUUCUGGCUAGUCGUUGGUACGGGUCGAACGGACACCGGUUGCUGGGCAGCCAAGUCGGGCUAGAGUCGAACUCCAAAUAAAUAUUCCGGGGCCCUUUGUAUUGGGACCCCGGCUGCUACUUAAUUUUAAGCACAAAAAAAAA